RNAcentral lists this ribosomal RNA (955 nucleotides) under uncultured bacterium. Its description in RNAcentral is "bacterial SSU rRNA". It matches the Rfam family "Bacterial small subunit ribosomal RNA", at positions 53 to 1006 of the family's 1533-position model. The record is from RNAcentral.
ACAUGCAGUCGAGGGGCAGCGGGGUGUAGCAAUACACUGCCGGCGACCGGCGCACGGGUGCGUAACGCGUAUGCAACCUACCCAUAACAGGGGCAUAACACUGAGAAAUUGGUACUAAUUCCCCAUAACAUUCGAAGAGGCAUCUCUUUGGGUUGAAAACUCCGGUGGUUAUGGAUGGGCAUGCGUUGUAUUAGCUAGUUGGUGAGGUAACGGCUCACCAAGGCGACGAUACAUAGGGGGACUGAGAGGUUAACCCCCCACAUUGGUACUGAGACACGGACCAAACUCCUACGGGAGGCAGCAGUGAGGAAUAUUGGUCAAUGGACGCAAGUCUGAACCAGCCAUGCCGCGUGCAGGAUGACGGCUCUAUGAGUUGUAAACUGCUUUUGUACGAGGGUAAACUCACCUACGUGUAGGUGACUGAAAGUAUCGUACGAAUAAGGAUCGGCUAACUCCGUGCCAGCAGCCGCGGUAAUACGGAGGAUUCAAGCGUUAUCCGGAUUUAUUGGGUUUAAAGGGUGCGUAGGCGGUUAGAUAAGUUAGAGGUGAAAUCCCGGGGCUUAACUCCGAAAUUGCCUCUAAUACUGUUUGACUAGAGAGUAGUUGCGGUAGGCGGAAUGUAUGGUGUAGCGGUGAAAUGCUUAGAGAUCAUACAGAACACCGAUUGCGAAGGCAGCUUACCAAACUAUAUCUGACGUUGAGGCACGAAAGCGUGGGGAGCAAACAGGAUUAGAUACCCUGGUAGUCCACGCAGUAAACGAUGAUAACUCGCUGUCGGCGAUACACAGUCGGUGGCUAAGCGAAAGCGAUAAGUUAUCCACCUGGGGAGUACGUUCGCAAGAAUGAAACUCAAAGGAAUUGACGGGGGCCCGCACAAGCGGAGGAACAUGUGGUUUAAUUCGAUGAUACGCGAGGAACCUUACCCGGGCUUGAAAGUUAGCGACGGAUCUGGAAA